AAUGAACGUUGGCGGCGUGGAUUAGGCAUGCAAGUCGGACGCCCCGCAAGGGGCGUGGCGCAAGGGUGAGUAAGGCGACGGCAACCAACCCCAUGGUCGGGCAUAGCCGCGAGAAAUCGCGGGUAAUUCCCGGCGACGUCACCGGGUGGCAUCCCCCGGUGACCAAAGGUGCGAUUCCGCCGUGGGACGGACCGUCGUGGUAUCAGGUCGUUGGCGGGGUAAUGGCCCACCAAGCCUUAGACGCCUACCGGGCGUGCGAGCGUGGCCCGGCACACUGGGACUGAGACACUGCCCAGACUCCUACGGGAGGCUGCAGUCGAGAAUCUUCGGCAAUGGGCGCAAGCCUGACCGAGCGACGCCGCGUGGAGGACGAAGGCCUUCGGGUUGUAAACUCCUGUCGAGGGGGAGGAAGGGGUCGUGAAGAACGAUCCUUGACCGAUCCCUGGAGGAAGCACGGGCUAAGUUCGUGCCAGCCGCCGCCGUAAAAC
This 488-nucleotide ribosomal RNA is filed under the name uncultured bacterium. RNAcentral describes it as "bacterial SSU rRNA". It matches the Rfam family "Bacterial small subunit ribosomal RNA", at positions 28 to 526 of the family's 1533-position model. The record is from RNAcentral.